AUUGAACGCUGGCGGCAGGCCUAACACAUGCAAGUCGAACGGCAGCACAGAAGAGCUUGCUCUUUGGGUGGCGAGUGGCGGACGGGUGAGUAAUGUCUGGGAAACUGCCCGAUGGAGGGGGAUAACUACUGGAAACGGUAGCUAAUACCGCAUAACGUCGCAAGACCAAAGUGGGGGACCUUCGGGCCUCACACCAUCGGAUGUGCCCAGAUGGGAUUAGCUAGUAGGUGGGGUAACGGCUCACCUAGGCGACGAUCCCUAGCUGGUCUGAGAGGAUGACCAGCCACACUGGAACUGAGACACGGUCCAGACUCCUACGGGAGGCAGCAGUGGGGAAUAUUGCACAAUGGGCGCAAGCCUGAUGCAGCCAUGCCGCGUGUAUGAAGAAGGCCUUCGGGUUGUAAAGUACUUUCAGCGGGGAGGAAGGCGACGCGGUUAAUAACCGGGUCGAUUGACGUUACCCGCAGAAGAAGCACCGGCUAACUCCGUG
This 490-nucleotide ribosomal RNA is filed under the name uncultured bacterium. RNAcentral's name for it is "partial 16S ribosomal RNA". It matches the Rfam family "Bacterial small subunit ribosomal RNA", at positions 29 to 507 of the family's 1533-position model. The record is from RNAcentral.